This 761-nucleotide ribosomal RNA is filed under the name uncultured Prevotella sp. RNAcentral's name for it is "bacterial SSU rRNA". It matches the Rfam family "Bacterial small subunit ribosomal RNA", at positions 28 to 776 of the family's 1533-position model. Lineage: Bacteria; Pseudomonadati; Bacteroidota; Bacteroidia; Bacteroidales; Prevotellaceae. The record is from RNAcentral.
GAUGAACGCUGGCUACAGGCUUAACACAUGCAAGUCGAGGGGAAACGGCAUUGAGUGCUUGCACUGAAUGGACGUCGACCGGCGCACGGGUGAGUAACGCGUAUCCAACCUUCCCGUUACUGCGGGAUAACCUGCCGAAAGGCAGACUAAUACCGCAUGUUCUUCGAUGACGGCAUCAGAUUCGAAGCAAAGAUCCGUCGGUAACGGAGGGGGAUGCGUCUGAUUAGCUAGUUGGCGGGGCGACGGCCCACCAAGGCGACGAUCAGUAGGGGUUCUGAGAGGAAGGUCCCCCACAUUGGAACUGAGACACGGUCCAAACUCCUACGGGAGGCAGCAGUGAGGAAUAUUGGUCAAUGGGCGGAAGCCUGAACCAGCCAAGUAGCGUGCAGGAUGACGGCCCUACGGGUUGUAAACUGCUUUUAUGCGGGGAUAAAGUGAGGGACGCGUCCCUUUUUGCAGGUACCGCAUGAAUAAGGACCGGCUAAUUCCGUGCCAGCAGCCGCGGUAAUACGGAAGGUCCGGGCGUUAUCCGGAUUUAUUGGGUUUAAAGGGAGCGUAGGCCGGGGAUUAAGUGUGUUGUGAAAUGUAGGCGCCCAACGUCUGACUUGCAGCGCAUACUGGUUCCCUUGAGUACGCGCAACGCCGGCGGAAUUCGUCGUGUAGCGGUGAAAUGCUUAGAUAUGACGAAGAACCCCGAUUGCGAAGGCAGCCGGCGGGAGCGCAACUGACGCUGAAGCUCGAAGGUGCGGGUAUCGAACAGG